Molecule: small nuclear RNA, 107 nt
Filed under: Mandrillus leucophaeus (drill)
Lineage: Eukaryota; Metazoa; Chordata; Mammalia; Primates; Cercopithecidae
Source: RNAcentral
GUGCUCGCUUCGGCAGCACAUAUACUAAAACUGGAACGAUACAGAGAAGAUUAGUAUGGUCCCUGUGCAAGGAUGGCACGUAAAUUCAUGAAGCGUUCCAUAUUUUU